This 833-nucleotide ribosomal RNA is filed under the name uncultured bacterium. Its description in RNAcentral is "bacterial SSU rRNA". It matches the Rfam family "Bacterial small subunit ribosomal RNA", at positions 82 to 914 of the family's 1533-position model. The record is from RNAcentral.
GAAGUAUGAGUUAGUGGCGGACCGGUGAGUAACGCGUGGAAAACCUGCCGUAUACUGGGGGAUAACACUUAGAAAUAGGUGCUAAUACCGCAUAAGCGCACAGCUUCGCAUGAAGCAGUGUGAAAAACUGAGGUGGUAUACGAUGGUUCCGCGUCUGAUUAGCUAGUUGGUGGGGUAAAAGCCUACCAAGGCAACGAUCAGUAGCCGGCCUGAGAGGGUGAACGGCCACAUUGGGACUGAGACACGGCCCAAACUCCUACGGGAGGCAGCAGUGGGGAAUAUUGCACAAUGGGGGAAACCCUGAUGCAGCGACGCCGCGUGAGUGAAGAAGUAUUUCGGUAUGUAAAGCUCUAUCAGCAGGGAAGAAAUACUGACCAUAGGGUCAGCAGACGGUACUUGACUAAGAAGCCCCGGCUAACUACGUGCCAGCAGCCGCGGUAAUACGUAGGGGGCAAGCGUUAUCCGGAUUUACUGGGUGUAAAGGGAGCGUAGACGGCAGCGCAAGUCUGAAGUGAAAUGCCAGGGCUUAACCCUGGAACUGCUUUGGAAACUGUGCAGCUAGAGUGCAGGAGAGGUAAGUGGAAUUUCUAGUGUAGCGGUGAAAUGCGUAGAUAUUAGGAGGAACACCAGUGGCGAAGGCGGCUUACUGGACUGUAACUGACGUUGAGGCUCGAAAGCGUGGGGAGCAAACAGGAUUAGAUACCCUGGUAGUCCACGCUGUAAACGAUGAUUACUAGGUGUUGGGGGACCAAGGUUCUUCGGUGCCGUCGCAAACGCAAUAAGUAAUCCACCUGGGGAGUACGUUCGCAAGAAUGAAACUCAAAGGAAUUGAC